CCAACUCCAGCACAGGCCCUACCACGUUGUCUCAUCACAGCCACGGACGAAUACGACUGCUCAACAACGCACAGACGCCAGCAGAAGCCGUUUUCUUGACCGCUCCAAUGCAAAUGCCACCGGACACAUGGUGGAACCACUCUGUGUGUGCUGAGCG
Molecule: ribosomal RNA, 157 nt
Filed under: Pratylenchus coffeae
Lineage: Eukaryota; Metazoa; Nematoda; Chromadorea; Rhabditida; Pratylenchidae
Description: 5.8S ribosomal RNA
Source: RNAcentral